This 448-nucleotide ribosomal RNA is filed under the name uncultured organism. Its description in RNAcentral is "partial 16S ribosomal RNA". It matches the Rfam family "Bacterial small subunit ribosomal RNA", at positions 332 to 797 of the family's 1533-position model. The record is from RNAcentral.
UACACUCCUACGGGAGGCAGCAGUGGGGAAUAUUGGACAAUGGGCGCAAGCCUGAUCCAGCCAUGCCGCGUGAGUGAUGAAGGCCCUAGGGUUGUAAAGCUCUUUCACCGGUGAAGAUAAUGACGGUAACCGGAGAAGAAGCCCCGGCUAACUUCGUGCCAGCAGCCGCGGUAAUACGAAGGGGGCUAGCGUUGUUCGGAUUUACUGGGCGUAAAGCGCACGUAGGCGGACUAUUAAGUCAGGGGUGAAAUCCCGGGGCUCAACCCCGGAACUGCCUUUGAUACUGGUAGUCUUGAGUUCGAGAGAGGUGAGUGGAAUUCCGAGUGUAGAGGUGAAAUUCGUAGAUAUUCGGAGGAACACCAGUGCGAAGGCGGCUCACUGGCUCGAUACUGACGCUGAGGUGCGAAAGCGUGGGGAGCAAACAGGAUUAGAUACCCGUGUAGUCCCA